RNAcentral lists this ribosomal RNA (27 nucleotides) under Toxicodendron vernicifluum (Chinese lacquer tree). Its description in RNAcentral is "partial 18S ribosomal RNA". RNAcentral also lists the same sequence under 1 other name. Lineage: Eukaryota; Viridiplantae; Streptophyta; Magnoliopsida; Sapindales; Anacardiaceae. The record is from RNAcentral.
UGGAAGUAAAAGUCGUAACAAGGUUUC